Molecule: ribosomal RNA, 412 nt
Filed under: uncultured microorganism
Description: bacterial SSU rRNA
Rfam family: Archaeal small subunit ribosomal RNA
Source: RNAcentral
GUGCAGCAGGCGAGAAACCUCCGCAAUGCUCGAAAGAGCGACGGGGGACUCCAAGUGCCUACGCUUUGCGUAGGCUUUUCCCAAGCCUAAAAAGCUUGGGGAAUAAGGGCUGGGUAAGACGGGUGCCAGCCGCCGCGGUAAUACCCGCAGCCCGAGUGGUGGCCGCUUUUAUUGGGCCUAAAGCGUCCGUAGCCGGUCUGGUAAAUGCCUGGGUAAAUCGUCUGGCUCAACCAGACGAAUUCCGGGUAGACUGCCAGACUAGGGACCGGAGGAAGGAGAGGGUACUCCGGGGGUAGGGGUGAAAUCCUGUAAUCCUCGGAGGACCACCGGUGGCGAAGGCGCUCUCCUAGGACGGGUCCGACGGUGAGGGACGAAAGCCAGGGGAGCAAACCGGAUUAGAUACCCGUGUAGU